UGAGGAAUAUUGGACAAUGGGCGCAAGCCUGAUCCAGCCAUGCCGCGUGCAGGAUGACGGUCCUAUGGAUUGUAAACUGCUUUUGCACAGGAAGAAACAACGCUACGUGUAGCGUCUUGACGGUACUGUGAGAAUAAGGAUCGGCUAACUCCGUGCCAGCAGCCGCGGUAAUACGGAGGAUCCAAGCGUUAUCCGGAAUCAUUGGGUUUAAAGGGUCCGUAGGCGGUUUAGUAAGUCAGUGGUGAAAGCC
This 250-nucleotide ribosomal RNA is filed under the name uncultured bacterium. RNAcentral describes it as "partial 16S ribosomal RNA". It matches the Rfam family "Bacterial small subunit ribosomal RNA", at positions 355 to 602 of the family's 1533-position model. The record is from RNAcentral.